GGGGGCGUAGUAUAACCUGGCUAGAAUGGCUGGCUCCAGACCAGCAGAUCUGGGUUCGAAUCCCAGCGUCCCCACCA
RNAcentral lists this transfer RNA (77 nucleotides) under Candidatus Woesearchaeota archaeon. Its description in RNAcentral is "tRNA-Trp". It matches the Rfam family "tRNA". From Rfam's summary of the family: Transfer RNA (tRNA) molecules are approximately 80 nucleotides in length. Their secondary structure includes four short double-helical elements and three loops (D, anti-codon, and T loops). Further hydrogen bonds mediate the characteristic L-shaped molecular structure. tRNAs have two regions of fundamental functional importance: the anti-codon, which is responsible for specific mRNA codon recognition, and the 3' end, to which the tRNAs corresponding amino acid is attached (by aminoacyl-tRNA synthetases). tRNAs cope with the degeneracy of the genetic code in two manners: having more than one tRNA (with a specific anti-codon) for a particular amino acid; and 'wobble' base-pairing, i.e. permitting non-standard base-pairing at the 3rd anti-codon position. Lineage: Archaea; Nanobdellati; Candidatus Woesearchaeota. The record is from RNAcentral.